AUGGCGCUCACAAUAGCCCAAAGCCUGGCGCUGGGAGGAGUUAGGGGCGUGGGGCAGGAAGCAGCUACUGGGCUUUCGGGGAGAAGGUCGGAGGCGUGGUUACCCAAGAGACCCCACUGGCUUUGGUCAUCAAACUCAAGCAGAGCCCAAUGCUGGGCUGGGGCAAACAAAAUGAGGGCUGAAGACCCAGCGAUUCCAACUUCCCAGUUCAGCUCUUCCUUGGAAACUGGAUCAAAAGGGAGCACAGACUUAACCCAAAUAGUGACAAAAGAUCACACAAGUCAAAAAAAAGAAAGAAAGAAAGAAAGAAACCAAUCCAGCAGUACAUGUCUCAAGUCCCCUCUGAUAGAUUAG
Molecule: long non-coding RNA, 354 nt
Filed under: Monodelphis domestica (gray short-tailed opossum)
Lineage: Eukaryota; Metazoa; Chordata; Mammalia; Didelphimorphia; Didelphidae
Description: lncRNA (ENSMODG00000042120.1)
Source: RNAcentral